This 752-nucleotide long non-coding RNA is filed under the name Coturnix japonica (Japanese quail). Its description in RNAcentral is "lncRNA (ENSCJPG00005002687.1)". Lineage: Eukaryota; Metazoa; Chordata; Aves; Galliformes; Phasianidae. The record is from RNAcentral.
GGGGUGGGGUAAGGGAAGAAAGAGGACCCCCCCCCCCCUUCCCAUUCAUUUUAAUGGGGUGAGGGGCCCCAUUCAUUUCAAUGGGGUGAGAGCCCUCCCCAUUCAUUUCAAUGGGGUGAGAGCCCUCCCAUUCAUUUCAAUGGGGUGAGAGCCCCCCAUAGGACCCCCCAUAGGACCUCAUAGGGACCAUCCAUAGGACCCAUAGGACCCCCCAUAGGACCAUAGGACCCCCCAUAGGAUCCAUAGGACCCCCCAACAAGGACCCAUAGGACGCCCCAUUAGGUAUCAUAGGAACCCAUAGACCCCCCCAUAAGGUCCAUAGACCCCAUAGGAUCCACCAGGACCCCCCAUAGAAUACAUAGGACCCAUAGGACCCCCCAUGGAUUCAUAGGACCCAUAGGACCCCCCAUUAGAUCUCAUAGGACCCCCCAUAGUCAUAGUACCCAUAGGAACCCCCAUAGGAUCCAUAAAGACCCAUAGGAACCCCCAUAGGAUCCAUAGGACCCAUAGGACCCCCAUAGGAUUCCAUAGGAUCCAUAGGAUCCAUAGGACCCCCAUAGGAUCCAUAGGACCCAUAGGACCCCCCAUAGGAUCCAUAGGACCCAUAGGACCCUCCCAUAAGGACCCAUAGGACCCCCAUAGGAUCAUAUAGACCUCCCAUAGAUUCCAUGUAGGACUCAUAGGACCCCCCAUAAGGAUUCCAUAGGACCUCCCCAUAGAGGAUCAUAGGACCCCCAUAGAAUCCAAUAGGA